AGAUGUGAGUGCGAUCUGGCUGUGACAUCUGUCUGUCACCCCAUUGAUCGCCAGGGUUGAUUCAGCUGAUCUGGCUGGCUAGGCGGGUGUCCCCUUCCUCCCUCACCACUCCAUGUUCAUCCUUCCUGAAGCUACAUGCUCAGUCAAAGAGAAGAAACUUCCCCAAUAAAGGCACACCAUUCAUCGAUCAAGGGUAUAUGGUAGGCUGCACUCCCCUGCUAGAACCUCCAAACAAGCUCGAGAUCAAGAUCAACCUCUAGAAAAAUAUUCACCAUUUAAAUAAGAAAUACUCAAU
Molecule: non-coding RNA, 295 nt
Organism: Anas platyrhynchos (mallard)
Lineage: Eukaryota; Metazoa; Chordata; Aves; Anseriformes; Anatidae
Source: Rfam